AGGACUGAAAACUGAAAUAAUGAGAUGCUCAAGUUGGGAAAUUGGCACGACCUUUGACCAGCGUUUGAUUGUUGAAGCUUUUGUUUGUUUCUCCCAUAAGAUGUUUGCAUUUUAGCGCUUCUCACAUUUCCCGGCUAUUUCCAUCCCUCUUGUUUCCUCAUCUUGAUUACCGCCCAAUAAGGAUCUGCUUUCAGAGAUUUUCAACUCUUUGUUUCUUACAUCAUAGAUAAUGGAUUCAACAGUGUCAAUACUUGCAAAUGUAGUGGGAGCUACAUCUGAUUGGGUGAGAUCAGUCUUUGAGUUUCAAUUCGCAAGAGCUGUGAUAUUUGAGGUCAAUAUUGGAGGACAUCUAUUUGUGGAAGGUCUUCUCCUGGUGGUCAUCCUUUUCCUACUGUCUCAGAAGAGUUACAAACCACCUAAAAGACCAUUGACGAAGAAGGAAAUUGAUGAAUUAUGUGAAGAAUGGGCCCCAGAACCACUUAUCCCUUCCAUCACUGAUGAGAUGAAACGUGAACCUCCAGUUUUAGAAAGUGCUGCAGGGCCUCAUACUAUAGUUAAUGGGAAAGAUGUAGUGAACUUUACUUCAGCAAAUUACCUUGGAUUAUUAGGAAGCCAAGAUUUACUAGAGACUUGUACUACAGCUCUAGAGAAGUAUGGUGUAGGUUCUUGUGGUCCCCGGGGGUUCUAUGGCACAAUUGAUGUCCACCUUGAUUGUGAGGCCAGAAUAGCAAAGUUUCUUGGAACUCCAGAUUCCAUACUAUAUUCUUAUGGACUUUCUACGAUGUUCAGUGCAAUUCCAGCAUUUUGCAAAAAGGGAGAUGUUGUUGUUGCGGAUGAAGGUGUCCACUGGGGAAUUCAAAACGGCCUUCAGCUCUCUAGAAGUACCAUCAUAUAUUUUAAGCAUAACAAUAUGGAGUCCUUACGAAACACUUUGGAGAAAGUUACCCAAGAAAACAAGCAAGCUAGGAAGCUACGACGAUAUAUUGUUGUUGAAGCUGUGUAUCAGAAUUCUGGCAAAAUAGCUCCAUUAGAUGAAAUCAUCAAGCUGAAGGAAAAAUAUCGAUUCCGCGUGUUGUUGGAUGAGAGCCAUUCCAUUGGUGUGCUUGGUAGUUCUGGUAGAGGUCUAACUGAACAUUGUAAAGUUGCGACUGACAAGAUAGAUAUAAUAACUGCAGCAAUGGGACAUGCAUUGGCCACAGAAGGUGGGUUUUGCACUGGGAAUGCUAGAGUCAUAGAUCACCAGCGUCUCAGUAGUUCUGGUUAUGUCUUCUCUGCUUCACUGCCUCCUUAUUUAGCAAGUGCUACAAUUAAAGCUAUUGAUAUCGUGGAAGAAAAACCUGAACUUCUUGUCAAACUGAGGGAAAAUAUUUCUAUGUUGACUAAAGGUCUAUCAGAUAUAAAAGGCUUAGAAAUAGUCAAUGAUCCGCUCUCCCCCAUUAUAUUCCUUACAUUAAAGAAGUCCACUAGUUCUUCAAAGGGUGAUCUACAAGUGCUUGAAGAUAUAGCUGAUCAUGUCUUGAAGGAAGAUUGUGUCUUUAUUGUGACAUCAAAGAGAUCAACUCUUGAUAAAUGUAAGCUUCCAGUUGGAAUUAGAUUAUUUGUCUCAGCAGCUCAUUCAGAAUCCGAUCUGGUGAAAGCCAGCGAGUCAUUGAAAAGAGCAACAGCAUUACUAUUGCCAGCUCACGAUUGAUAGGAGGAUUUCACUUCUUUGCUCUUCGAAGAUGCCACUGUGUCAAAGGAACCAAAAUGUGAUUCAUGGAGGGUGAAAACUAUGUUACUCGAGAAGAUCAUCACUUUCAUAUAUUGGCUUAUUGGCAAGUGACAUAUUAUUAGCAAUGGAAAUAGUGAAAAAAAUCAUGUAUAGAGUUUGUUACUGGAAGAUAAAUUAAUUAGAGUUAUAUCAAGAUCAAUAUUAGAUGAUGGUAUAGUGAGCACAAUACCCCUGCAAUUAUGUUCAUAAUUUCUUUUAAGAGAGAGUAAUUAGAGUGAAACAACUUUAUUGAUUUAUUUAGUUGGACUCUAUACAUAACUCGUGAUUAGACCAUAAUGUCUUUUAAUUCUUCUUUUAAGCACCAUGAAAAUGUUUAGAGUUGUUUUUACUUCAUUCUACAUUUACCUGAUAUAUUGGAAGUUUGGAAUGGAAAACUGAUCACUGUAGAGUGUAGACUGCAAAAUAUAAUUUUUCAUGUUGCUUAUGAUAGAUAUUUGAGAUAAUUACGGCCCUGAUCGAUGGUCAUCUAGUCUAUCAAUUUUGUUAAAUUUUACAUAAAAGGUAGGCUUUCUUUUACUCAUUAGUCCAAGUGUAUCAACAAUGUUCGCAAUAAAGAUGUUUGACA
This is an RNA transcript of Solanum dulcamara, 2336 nucleotides long. It is a transcript of the gene named long chain base biosynthesis protein 1-like, with no coding region annotated. The transcript has 14 exons. The record is from RefSeq and is a predicted model, not a curated record. Lineage: Eukaryota; Viridiplantae; Streptophyta; Magnoliopsida; Solanales; Solanaceae.